UACGGAGGGGGCUAGCGUUGUUCGGAAUUACUGGGCGUAAAGCGCACGUAGGCGGCUUUGUAAGUUAGAGGUGAAAGCCCAGGGCUUAACCCUGGAAUUGCCUUUAAGACUGCAUCGCUAGAAUUGUGGAGAGGUAAGUGGGAUUCCGAGUGUAGAGGUGAAAUUCGUAGAUAUUCGGAAGAACACCAGUGGCGAAGGCGACUUACUGGACACAUAUUGACGCUGAGGUGCGAAAGCGUGGGGAGCAAACAGG
RNAcentral lists this ribosomal RNA (253 nucleotides) under uncultured bacterium. RNAcentral describes it as "partial 16S ribosomal RNA". It matches the Rfam family "Bacterial small subunit ribosomal RNA", at positions 524 to 776 of the family's 1533-position model. The record is from RNAcentral.